RNAcentral lists this ribosomal RNA (478 nucleotides) under uncultured organism. RNAcentral describes it as "partial 16S ribosomal RNA". It matches the Rfam family "Bacterial small subunit ribosomal RNA", at positions 332 to 801 of the family's 1533-position model. The record is from RNAcentral.
UACACUCCUGCGGGAGGCAGCAGUGGGGAAUUUUGGACAAUGGGCGAAAGCCUGAUCCAGCAAUGCCGCGUGAGUGAAGAAGGCCUUCGGGUUGUAAAGCUCUUUUGUCAGGGAAGAAACGGUGAGAGCUAAUAUCUCUUGCUAAUGACGGUACCUGAAGAAUAAGCACCGGCUAACUACGUGCCAGCAGCCGCGGUAAUACGUAGGGUGCAAGCGUUAAUCGGAAUUACUGGGCGUAAAGCGUGCGCAGGCGGUUUUGUAAGUCUGAUGUGAAAUCCCCGGGCUCAACCUGGGAAUUGCAUUGGAGACUGCAAGGCUAGAAUCUGGCAGAGGGGGGUAGAAUUCCACGUGUAGCAGUGAAAUGCGUAGAUAUGUGGAGGAACACCGAUGGCGAAGGCAGCCCCCUGGGUCAAGAUUGACGCUCAUGCACGAAAGCGUGGGGAGCAAACAGGAUUAGAAACCCCUGUAGUCCCAUGAU